UGCCAGACUCCUACGGGAGGCAGCAGUGGGGGAUAUUGCACAAUGGGGGGAACCCUGAUGCAGCGACGCCGCGUGAGUGAAGAAGUAAUUCGUUACGUAAAGCUCUAUCAGCAGGGAAGAAAAUGACGGUACCUGACUAAGAAGCCCCGGCUAACUACGUGCCAGCAGCCGCGGUAAUACGUAGGGGGCAAGCGUUAUCCGGAAUUACUGGGCGUAAAGGGUGCGUAGGUGGUUUCUUAAGUCAGAGGUGAAAGGCUACGGCUCAACCGUAGUAAGCCUUUGAAACUGGGGAACUUGAGUGCAGGAGAGGAGAGUGGAAUUCCUAGUGUAGCGGUGAAAUGCGUAGAUAUUAGGAGGAACACCAGUUGCGAAGGCGGCUCUCUGGACUGAAACUGACGCUGAGGCACGAAAGUGUGGGGAGCAAACAGGAUUAGAUACCCGUGUA
This 445-nucleotide ribosomal RNA is filed under the name uncultured bacterium. Its description in RNAcentral is "partial 16S ribosomal RNA". It matches the Rfam family "Bacterial small subunit ribosomal RNA", at positions 329 to 792 of the family's 1533-position model. The record is from RNAcentral.